This 230-nucleotide unclassified non-coding RNA is filed under the name uncultured fungus. RNAcentral describes it as "sequence contains ITS2". The stretch from base 1 to 52 matches the Rfam family "5.8S ribosomal RNA", at positions 103 to 154 of the family's 154-position model. Lineage: Eukaryota; Fungi. The record is from RNAcentral.
AACGCACAUUGCGCCCUCUGGUAUUCCGGGGGGCAUGCCUGUUCGAGCGUCAUUAUGACCAAUCACGCAAGUGGUAUUGGGGCUUGCCGUCGGCAUCCCUUAAAACUAGUGGCAGUGCUAUAGGCUCUCAGCGCAGUAAUUAUUUCGCUCUUGAGUCCUAGACACACCCGCCAAAACCCCAACUUUCUUAGGUUGACCUCGGAUCAGGUAGGGAUACCCGCUGAACUUAA